RNAcentral lists this ribosomal RNA (1343 nucleotides) under uncultured bacterium. Its description in RNAcentral is "16S ribosomal RNA". It matches the Rfam family "Bacterial small subunit ribosomal RNA", at positions 28 to 1378 of the family's 1533-position model. The record is from RNAcentral.
GACGAACGCUGGCGGCGUACUUAACACAUGCAAGUCGAACGGAAAGGCCCUGCUUUUGUGGGGUGCUCGAGUGGCGAACGGGUGAGUAACACGUGAGUAACCUGCCCUUGACUUUGGGAUAACUUCAGGAAACUGGGGCUAAUACCGGAUAGGAGCUCCUGCUGCAUGGUGGGGGUUGGAAAGUUUCGGCGGUUGGGGAUGGACUCGCGGCUUAUCAGCUUGUUGGUGGGGUAGUGGCUUACCAAGGCUUUGACGGGUAGCCGGCCUGAGAGGGUGACCGGCCACAUUGGGACUGAGAUACGGCCCAGACUCCUACGGGAGGCAGCAGUGGGGAAUAUUGCACAAUGGGCGGAAGCCUGAUGCAGCAACGCCGCGUGCGGGAUGACGGCCUUCGGGUUGUAAACCGCUUUCGCCUGUGACGAAGCGUGAGUGACGGUAAUGGGUAAAGAAGCACCGGCUAACUACGUGCCAGCAGCCGCGGUGAUACGUAGGGUGCGAGCGUUGUCCGGAUUUAUUGGGCGUAAAGGGCUCGUAGGUGGUUGAUCGCGUCGGAAGUGUAAUCUUGGGGCUUAACCCUGAGCGUGCUUUCGAUACGGGUUGACUUGAGGAAGGUAGGGGAGAAUGGAAUUCCUGGUGGAGCGGUGGAAUGCGCAGAUAUCAGGAGGAACACCAGUGGCGAAGGCGGUUCUCUGGGCCUUUCCUGACGCUGAGGAGCGAAAGCGUGGGGAGCGAACAGGCUUAGAUACCCUGGUAGUCCACGCUGUAAACGGUGGGUACUAGGUGUGGGGUCCAUUCCACGGGUUCCGUGCCGUAGCUAACGCUUUAAGUACCCCGCCUGGGGAGUACGGCCGCAAGGCUAAAACUCAAAGGAAUUGACGGGGCCCCGCACAAGCGGCGGAGCAUGCGGAUUAAUUCGAUGCAACGCGUAGAACCUUACCUGGGUUUGACAUGGAUCGGGAGUGCUCAGAGAUGGGUGUGCCUCUUUUGGGGUCGGUUCACAGGUGGUGCAUGGCUGUCGUCAGCUCGUGUCGUGAGAUGUUGGGUUAAGUCCCGCAACGAGCGCAACCCUUGUUCACUGUUGCCAGCACGUUAUGGUGGGGACUCAGUGGAGACCGCCGGGGUCAACUCGGAGGAAGGUGGGGAUGACGUCAAGUCAUCAUGCCCCUUAUGUCCAGGGCUUCACGCAUGCUACAAUGGCUGGUACAGAGAGUGGCGAGCCUGUGAGGGUGAGCGAAUCUCGGAAAGCCGGUCUCAGUUCGGAUUGGGGUCUGCAACUCGACCUCAUGAAGUCGGAGUCGCUAGUAAUCGCAGAUCAGCAACGCUGCGGUGAAUACGUUCCCGGG